This 254-nucleotide ribosomal RNA is filed under the name uncultured bacterium. RNAcentral's name for it is "partial 16S ribosomal RNA". It matches the Rfam family "Bacterial small subunit ribosomal RNA", at positions 524 to 776 of the family's 1533-position model. The record is from RNAcentral.
CACGUAGGGUGCGAGCGUUGUCCGGAAUUAUUGGGCGUAAAGAGCUCGUAGGCGGUGUGUCGCGUCGGCCGUGAAAACCUGCAGCUUAACUGUGGGCUUGCGGUCGAUACGGGCAUCACUGGAGUUCGGCAGGGGAGACUGGAAUUCCUGGUGUAGCGGUGAAAUGCGCAGAUAUCAGGAGGAACACCUGAGGUGAAGACGGGUUGCUGGGCCAACACUGACGCUGAGGCGCGAAAGCCAGGGGAGCAAACGGG